RNAcentral lists this ribosomal RNA (501 nucleotides) under uncultured bacterium. RNAcentral describes it as "partial 16S ribosomal RNA". It matches the Rfam family "Bacterial small subunit ribosomal RNA", at positions 30 to 523 of the family's 1533-position model. The record is from RNAcentral.
AUUGAACGCUGGCGGCAGGCUUAACACAUGCAAGUCGAGCGGGGGAAGGUAGCUUGCUACCGGACCUAGCGGCGGACGGGUGAGUAAUGCUUAGGAAUCUGCCUAUUAGUGGGGGACAACAUCUCGAAAGGGAUGCUAAUACCGCAUACGUCCUACGGGAGAAAGCAGGGGAUCUUCGGACCUUGCGCUAAUAGAUGAGCCUAAGUCGGAUUAGCUAGUUGGUGGGGUAAAGGCCUACCAAGGCGACGAUCUGUAGCGGGUCUGAGAGGAUGAUCCGCCAAACUGGGACUGAGACACGGCCCAGACUCCUACGGGAGGCAGCAGUGGGGAAUAUUGGACAAUGGGGGGAACCCUGAUCCAGCCAUGCCGCGUGUGUGAAGAAGGCCUUAUGGUUGUAAAGCACUUUAAGCGAGGAGGAGGCUACUCUAGUUAAUACCUAGGGAUAGUGGACGUUACUCGCAGAAUAAGCACCGGCUAUCUCUGUGCCAGCAGCCGCCGUAA